CGUAUCCAACCUGCCACCACUUGGGAAUAACCUUGCGAAAGUUAAGACUAAUGCCCAAUGACGUUGAAAGAAGACAUCUGAUUUCAACUAAGAUUUAUCGGUGAUGGAUGGGGAUGCGUCCGAUUAGCUUGUUGGCGGGGUAACGGCCCACCAAGGCAACGAUCGGUAGGGGUUCUGAGAGGAAGGUCCCCCACAUUGGAACUGAGACACGGUCCAAACUCCUACGGGAGGCAGCAGUGAGGAAUAUUGGUCAAUGGGCGAGAGCCUGAACCAGCCAAGUAGCGUGCAGGAUGACGGCCCUAUGGGUUGUAAACUGCUUUUAUAAGGGAAUAAAGUGGGGCUCGUGAGCUCUUUUGCAUGUACCUUAUGAAUAAGGACCGGCUAAUUCCGUG
This 392-nucleotide ribosomal RNA is filed under the name uncultured bacterium. Its description in RNAcentral is "bacterial SSU rRNA". It matches the Rfam family "Bacterial small subunit ribosomal RNA", at positions 116 to 507 of the family's 1533-position model. The record is from RNAcentral.